GCCAACUGGACCCUAACUGGACUGUGACUGUGUCCUGAUGAGUUUCUUCUUGUUCUUAUUGGGGUGAUGAUGCUCAGAUGAUCCAGGACAGUUGCUGAGAUCAGAGGACACGGUGCAGAAGCACAGACACAGGUGAAUCAGUGUUUCCAGCAGAGAGACAUCAUGGCAGCUGCAGCACCAGUCACAGGUGAUGUGCGACCACUGAAGCGCAGAAACAGCGUUCGUCGCCUGCCACCUCACAGUGAGUCAAAAUGAACUGGG
RNAcentral lists this long non-coding RNA (261 nucleotides) under Mastacembelus armatus (zig-zag eel). RNAcentral's name for it is "lncRNA (ENSMAMG00000024782.1)". The record is from RNAcentral. Lineage: Eukaryota; Metazoa; Chordata; Actinopteri; Synbranchiformes; Mastacembelidae.